Non-coding RNA from Ciona intestinalis (vase tunicate), 395 nucleotides. The record is from RefSeq and is a predicted model, not a curated record. NCBI's taxonomy places the organism in Eukaryota, Metazoa, Chordata, Ascidiacea, Phlebobranchia, Cionidae.
UACAUUCAUGAUUCUGAUGUUUUUUCCAGACAGCAAUAGGCAACAUACAACCCCACGGGUACACCACUUACACUGCUCAUGCUGUUCUUAAAGCAAUCAGAGUUGAUUUUCCAAGAUCCACCCGUUUCAAUAACUCAUGCACUUCUAAAAUAAUUGUCCUUAUUACUGAUGGAAGGGCUAGUGACUCUUCAAGGCUUCGGUCUAUUUCCUUGAUGGCCAAGAAUGAAGGAGUUAAGAUUCUUGCCAUUGGAGUUGGCAAUGCCAAUCAACGAGAACUUGUAGUUCUAACCCGACCAGAGAUUGGGACGAGUGACAGAGUGUAUUCUAUCAAUGAGUACGAUGCGCUACAGAAUCUUGUUCAAACAAUGAGAUCAAAUAUACUGGCCUAAAAUUGA